GGCGGUUGGUGCUCUGCUGCGUAGCUGCAUCUUUGUAUCUUCGUCUCGGCUUCAGGCAGAAUGAAGAAAAACGUACAAGUGCAAGAAAUAGGCCGCUCCAAGCCUGUAGCCUAUGUGGAACACCAGGGCAACCAUAUGAAUAUUAACAGCUAUUUAUUUCCCUGCUACCAUCCUGAGUGAAGGGUGACAUUCGAGACGUUUCAUGCACCUUCAGACCACUGCCAGAGAAAACACAGUUAAAAAGGAAAGUGUCCGUCAGUGAAUAUAUUUCCUGGGUACCAAACCGUCUACGAAAUACAUGAGAGUCGAAGAGGAGCCAUGUGAGUGGAUCAGCAGCAAGGACGCUCUCUUUGUGCAUAAAACUAAAAGACUUCAAAGCAAUGAAGUUGUUUCUUACCUAGAUCGUACUUGUUGUACUCACCAUCGUGAACGGGUGCAGGAAAACACAGAAAUGUAGCGACGAAUUUAUGAGCAGCAUAUUCAGUGCAGGUAACUGAUGGCAACACAAGACAUUUCCUGCUAUUGUGAGCUGGCAGUGAGAGCAUACUAAGUACCUGUCUUAAAAAUUAUCAUCAGAAAUGUAGAGGAGUCGGGUUGUUGUCGUGAGCUGAGCUGUGAGCUGUCUCUCUGAGUAUUCUGUCAUUGGUCUGUCUGAGCUUUCCAUUGCACUCGUUCGCCAUGCUGAUAAGCUGCAUGCACUAUAUUGUACUACCACUUUUGUGAUAUGCAGGAUGGCAUAGCAACAUGUUAUAUAAACAUUAAUGUGAUUGUUAUGUAUUUUAAAAGAUAAGGGAUUGCAUGAGGUAACAAGAAGCCAAAGAAGCCAAACAGUGAGCCAAAGCAACUGCAGGAGCAGAGAACAACAACAACAACAACAACAAAAUGUAAAGGAGAGCGGGUAAGAUUGGGGGUGUAAUUGGCGACAGAUAUAUUUGAUGCAGAUCAGCAUGCACUUUUUUAUAACCACUUUCCCUCCCUAGGUUUGUGUAGAGUUACUCACAACCACCCUCUCUAAGCACGGGUGGAGUGAAGGCAUGCUGAAUUCCCUAUGCGCGGAACUGUAGAGGUGCCACAAGGCAUCAUUUUCUGGGUAUCUUUGUCACUAUACUUGGUUCAUGAAUUACGAUCAGACUCGUGGCAAAAUGGAGUAAUGUUUAGAUGGGCUUCUCUUUGGUGCCGUGCAAAUGUAGUCUUAACUAGGGAAAUUUCGUUUUUGAUAAAUCGUGUGAUGAUAAACUUCAGAACAAAUUAAUCCUUCUGAAACAUCACAAGGUGACAAAACAAAAUGCGAUCAAAUACGAAUGACUGCAUGUGUCUAUCUAGCGACUUUUCUUCUUGUUUUCUGAUAUGGGUGGGCCUGUCAUCUUACAGUGUUGCAGCUUUUUCUUCAUGUUUAUGCCGUGGCCAUUUUACAAUAUCUUGCCUUAUCGUUUAAGACGGGUAACAGAAAAAAACGGGUAUGAAAAAUUAGGCUUCAGCAUUGCCUUUGUGGUUUUGUUUUCGGUACAAAACAUUAUCUUAUUUGUAAUGUGCCUGAGAAAGUAUGCUCGUUCAUUCAAGCUAACUUUCUUUACCUAUUUAAUGAUAUGUCAUAUUUGUGUGAAUGUGUAAAAUGCUACAUAAACUUUAUCCUUCAGAGCAGGAAACUGUUUUAACAUUUUGUUCGUUGUCAAUAACACACAAUUUGUUUACUUAUUGUGCACCUGAAAGAGCAUGGUCCAGUUCUGCUAUAGCUGCUUAUUUAAUUUUAGACAAAUUUGUGAAUGCACCAAACGAGCAUAGAACAGUACUUGUCAGCUUUCUAGAGCAGAAAACUGUUGGAACAGCUAAAGUUCUACUGUGUUUUCACUCUUCCGCUCAGGAGAGUUCUUUGAUCCAUAAUGGGCUAGAACAAGAACGCUAGUUCAUUAACAAAUUUCCUUGAUUUAAUGGUACAGGUUAUAUGCCAUUUAGUGUAACAUUGCCUUAUUUUGUGUUCACUUUUCUAAAAUGGUUUGCACACGUGUCAAAGCCAUCUACUUUAUUGUACUAGAAAAUACGUCAAACGUAAUAACUCCUUGUUGAUACAGUGGUUUCAGUCCCCCUAGAUUGUCAUUAUGAUUGCCUAUUCAGUGUCUUUGUGCUACAAUUGUACUUACCGGGCCACAACUGUGACCAAGUGAGCUUUACUGUUCCCUGUCGGCACAGAGAGACUACAAUAAACUUGUCUGUAUUUUGUCUUUUGCGUCACAGGUGCAUGACUGUAUAAGCUUACAAACACGUGAAUUUCUCCAAUGCAUACUGAAUGAUUUACAAAGCUUAGGUAGGAGGAUGCAUUUGCAGACAUUUUUUCAUGGCAGUGCAAUUACCAACACGAACCCUUUUAAGAAGCCCUCCAUUUGGACCCCUGACCGACAACUACAUCAAGGCGGUCUAUAACGAUAUCAAUAAGCUAGUCGGCGAGUCAAUUAACGUUAAAAAUCCUAACUUAUCCAAAGCUGAGAUGAUUGCUUUACG
Molecule: long non-coding RNA, 2496 nt
Organism: Ornithodoros turicata
Lineage: Eukaryota; Metazoa; Arthropoda; Arachnida; Ixodida; Argasidae
Exons: 3
Source: RefSeq, a predicted model, not a curated record